This 69-nucleotide transfer RNA is filed under the name Podarcis lilfordi (Lilford's wall lizard). Its description in RNAcentral is "tRNA.Ile". The stretch from base 3 to 61 matches the Rfam family "tRNA", at positions 8 to 63 of the family's 71-position model. From Rfam's summary of the family: Transfer RNA (tRNA) molecules are approximately 80 nucleotides in length. Their secondary structure includes four short double-helical elements and three loops (D, anti-codon, and T loops). The record is from RNAcentral. Lineage: Eukaryota; Metazoa; Chordata; Lepidosauria; Squamata; Lacertidae.
GGUAGCUCAGUUGGUUAGAGCGUGGUGCUGAUAACACCAAGGUUGCAGGUUCGAUCCCUGUAUGGGACA